ACCCGCUGAACUUAAGCAUAUCAAUAAGCGGAGGAAAAGAAAACUAACAAGGAUUCCCCUAGUAACGGCGAGUGAAGCGGGAAGAGCUCAAAUUUGAAAUCUGGUGGCCUCAGGUCAUCCGAGUUGUAAUCUAUAGAAGUGUUUUCCGUGCUGGCUCAUGUACAAGUCCCUUGGAACAGGGCGUCAUAGAGGGUGAGAAUCCCGUCCUUGACAUGAACUACCAGAGCUCUGUGAUACAUUUUCAACGAGUCGAGUUGUUUGGGAAUGCAGCUCAAAAUGGGUGGUAAAUUCCAUCUAAAGCUAAAUAUUGGCGAGAGACCGAUAGCGAACAAGUACCGUGAGGGAAAGAUGAAAAGCACUUUGGAAAGAGAGUUAAACAGUAUGUGAAAUUGUUGAAAGGGAAACGAUUGAAGUCAGUCGUGCUCUUUGGAUUCAGCCGGUUCUGCCGGUGUACUUCCUUUGAGUGGGGUCAACAUCAGUUUUGAUCGCUGGAUAAAGGCUGGAGGAACGUAGUACCCUCGGGUAAACUUAUAGCCUCCUGUCACAUACAGUGGUUGGGACUGAGGAACGCAGCACGCCUUUAUGGCCGGGAUUCGUCCACGUACGUGCUUAGGAUGUUGACAUAAUGGCUUU
Molecule: ribosomal RNA, 633 nt
Filed under: uncultured fungus
Lineage: Eukaryota; Fungi
Description: eukaryotic LSU rRNA
Rfam family: Eukaryotic large subunit ribosomal RNA
Source: RNAcentral